Long non-coding RNA from Penaeus chinensis, 198 nucleotides. RefSeq lists it as uncharacterized. NCBI's taxonomy places the organism in Eukaryota, Metazoa, Arthropoda, Malacostraca, Decapoda, Penaeidae. The transcript has 3 exons. The record is from RefSeq and is a predicted model, not a curated record.
CUGCUAACAUCAAAUUUCCUUGCCAUAAGAAACUUGACAGCUGUAUUCCAUGACAGAGGCCCAACGUUCCGAGACCGUCGCAGCUCAUUAACUUGUUCUACAAACUCUUUUGUCGCCUGGAGGAAGCGUCCAUGGCGCCGCACAGCACCAUCCUUGGCGCUCUGUCGUCGAACUGGCACUUGGAGGUAAGAGAAUCGC